GAUGAACGCUGGCGGCGUGCCUAAUACAUGCAAGUCGAGCGAACGGACGAGAAGCUUGCUUCUCUGACGUUAGCGGCGGACGGGUGAGUAACACGUGGAUAACCUACCUAUAAGACUGGGAUAACUUCGGGAAACCGGAGCUAAUACCGGAUAAUAUAUUGAACCGCAUGGUUCAAAAGUGAAAGACGGUCUUGCUGUCACUUAUAGAUGGAUCCGCGCUGCAUUAGCUAGUUGGUAAGGUAACGGCUUACCAAGGCAACGAUGCAUAGCCGACCUGAGAGGGUGAUCGGCCACACUGGAACUGAGACACGGUCCAGACUCCUACGGGAGGCAGCAGUAGGGAAUCUUCCGCAAUGGGCGAAAGCCUGACGGAGCAACGCCGCGUGAGUGAUGAAGGUCUUCGGAUCGUAAAACUCUGUUAUUAGGGAAGAACAUAUGUGUAAGUAACUGUGCACGUCUUGACGGUACCUAAUCAGAAAGCCACGGCUAACUACGUG
RNAcentral lists this ribosomal RNA (497 nucleotides) under uncultured bacterium. RNAcentral describes it as "partial 16S ribosomal RNA". It matches the Rfam family "Bacterial small subunit ribosomal RNA", at positions 28 to 507 of the family's 1533-position model. The record is from RNAcentral.